UGUAUUAGCUGUGUACAUAUACGAAGGUUUUCACUGGUAUAUAGUUGUGUAUCUGUGUGAGGCUGUGCAUUAGUUGUGUAUCUGUUGAUGUUGUGUAUUAGCUGUGUACAUAUAUGAAGGUUUUCACUGGUAUAGAGUUGUGUAUCUGUGUGAGGCUGUGCAUUAGUUGUGUAUCUGUUGAUGUUGUGUAUUAGCUGUGUACAUAUAUGAAGGUCUUCACUGGUAUAGAGUUGUCGAUCUGUGUGAGGCUGUGCAUUAGUUGUGUAUCUGUUGAUGUUGUGUAUUAGCUGUGUACAUAUAUGAAGGUCUUCACUGGUAUAGAGUUGUCGAUCUGUGUGAGGUUGUGUUUUAGAGUAGAGUUGUGUAUCUGUGUGAGGUUGUGUUUUGGAGUACAGUUAUGUAUCACGUGUCCUCUAGUGUGGUGGGACCUUUUCAUACUGAAGUGAUGGGGUCAUGUAUUCUUUUAUUCUUUUAUUAUUUAAACACGCAGUACAUCACAUAACAGCCGCACACAGACGUGUAGGGAAAAUAUAAACAGCCAAAGCCUCUGCUUGGAGUCAUCCCUCUGUUUGAAUUAUCACCCCCCCCCCCCCAUAUCCCAAGUCCAUUCUCCUUUCAAUACAACCACUCCUAUCCUUCUUGUUUUGACUGCACCUGUAAUUUGAUAGGUUUUCUUUUUUAGAUGAAAUGGAACUAAAAUAAUUGUCCAAAGCUAUGAAAUUAAAAGGGGGCGUAUUGUGGUAUUUUAUAGGCAGUAAUCCUCUUAUCUCAUUAGCAUUAAAAAGGAUGUGAUGCUAUUAUCUCAUUAGCAUUUAAAGGCAAUGGGUGCUCUUAUCUCAUUAGCAAUAUUGGCAAGCUAUGCUGAGGUUACAAAACAUGGACACAGACUAUACUCAUAAAUUUGUUCUUAAAUGAAUGGAACUACAUAUUUUUCUUUCUUCAAUGCUUUCUCACCCAAUAAA
Long non-coding RNA from Anguilla rostrata (American eel), 962 nucleotides. RefSeq lists it as uncharacterized. The record is from RefSeq and is a predicted model, not a curated record. Lineage: Eukaryota; Metazoa; Chordata; Actinopteri; Anguilliformes; Anguillidae. The transcript has 2 exons.